CGUCCCUCCCGGCCUCUCCUAUAUUGCAGCGGUUUGGUGACUUUGGUCGUUGGUCGGACGGCGAGUGGAACGGCGGCAGCAACAAUCUCCCUUCACUAUCUAUGAAGAUGUUGAAGUUGAAGAUGAAGAGGGUGCACGAAGGGAAUAUGAUCAGACAUUGCUUGAUAGAGAACUUGGGAUUGGAUCUGCGCUGGAUUCUGAUUAUAUGAACACUCCAAUUUAUAGUGGCACUCUAAGUCAGCCGCGUAAUAUCACUCAUACUCCAUUCACACAUGAUUCAAAGACACAAGCACCAUUUGAUAUGAACAACUGAAGUUUCUUCUUCUUUAUGACAUAGACUAUAUUUUAUGGAUUUUAUAGGUUUUGUAGAUUUCACUGCUUCUUUAAUACAUGGACCAUUUGAUAUGACAUUUUCUUAUUAUAUCUUUUGUAUUUCAUGGGUCAUAUGACGGAUGAUAUUUUGAUUUGUUAAAUGAUUGUUCUGGACAGAUA
This is a long non-coding RNA of Macadamia integrifolia, 492 nucleotides long. RefSeq lists it as uncharacterized. NCBI's taxonomy places the organism in Eukaryota, Viridiplantae, Streptophyta, Magnoliopsida, Proteales, Proteaceae. The transcript has 2 exons. The record is from RefSeq and is a predicted model, not a curated record.